This 376-nucleotide unclassified non-coding RNA is filed under the name uncultured bacterium. Its description in RNAcentral is "contains 16S-23S intergenic spacer region". The record is from RNAcentral.
UCCGGUUUGUCACCGGCAGUCUCAUUAGAGUGCUCUUGCGUAGCAACUAAUGACAAGGGUUGCGCUCGUUGCGGGACUUAACCCAACAUCUCACGACACGAGCUGACGACAGCCAUGCAGCACCUGUGUUACGGCUCUCUUUCGAGCACUCCCCAAUCUCUCAGGGAUUCCGUACAUGUCAAGGGUAGGUAAGGUUUUUCGCGUUGCAUCGAAUUAAUCCACAUCAUCCACCGCUUGUGCGGGUCCCCGUCAAUUCCUUUGAGUUUUAGCCUUGCGGCCGUACUCCCCAGGCGGAGUGCUUAAUGCGUUAGCUGCGGCACAGAGCGGGUUGAAGACCGCCCCACACCUAGCACUCAACGUUUACGGCUGGGACUAC